UACGUAGGGGGCAAGCGUUGUCCGGAAUCAUUGGGCGUAAAGAGCGUGUAGGCGGCCCGGUAAGUCCGCUGUGAAAGUCCAGGCUCAACCCUGGGAUGCCGGUGGAUACUGUCGGGCUCGAGUCCGGAAGAGGAGUGUGGAAUUCCUGGUGUAGCGGUGAAAUGCGCAGAUAUCAGGAGGAACAUCGAUGGCGAAGGCAGCCCCUUGGACCUGUACUGACGCUCAUGCACGAAAGCGUGGGGAGCAAAC
RNAcentral lists this ribosomal RNA (249 nucleotides) under uncultured bacterium. RNAcentral's name for it is "partial 16S ribosomal RNA". It matches the Rfam family "Bacterial small subunit ribosomal RNA", at positions 524 to 773 of the family's 1533-position model. The record is from RNAcentral.